UAAUUCAGACUAUUUCAAUGUCAGUUUUGAGAGGACAAUUUUUAUUGUGGUGACUAUGUAAAAUAAUAAGUCACGAAGACAAAUUAUAUAAUACUUAUGGGAAUGCAAAUGUUAUAAUAACUAAAUACAUUGUUCAUGUGAACGUGACUCUUGUCGGAAAUACCAUUGGCAUAUAGUGUUUUUCAGCCCACUAUGCUAUGUAGUACUACUGACUAUGCAUCUUGUCAAUAUUUGCGUUUUCAUUUUCGUAUUUCUACAUGACGCCGCCAUUACAGCGAAAAGAUUCAUGCGUGACAUACGUGCGCAGUGUGGUUAUUAUUAGAUUUUUCACGAACUAAUUGGAUCAAUAUUGCAUCAGAUGUUCUGUGGAUUUAGGGUUGUGGCCGAGAAAAAUGAAGCUGAGGGUCAUAAUUUCUGAUUUACUGGAGGACCCUCAAUACUUGAUCGGUAAUAAAUAGUUGGUACUUGGAUGGACCAUUUAGCUUUAUUCGAAGUGAGUGGUAGUGGACUAAAACCUGCGACUCACAAGGCAGAACAAAACGCUGACCCUCAUAUACACAUUCAUUAAAUAGGCAACAUGUAAUUGAUCAGGUAACAAUUCAAAUAUUGUAUCAUUAAGUUAAGAGAAAAUAUAUCAAGAUAAUG
Long non-coding RNA from Topomyia yanbarensis, 645 nucleotides. RefSeq lists it as uncharacterized. Lineage: Eukaryota; Metazoa; Arthropoda; Insecta; Diptera; Culicidae. The transcript has 3 exons. The record is from RefSeq and is a predicted model, not a curated record.